Molecule: transfer RNA, 76 nt
Filed under: Hyphomicrobiales bacterium
Lineage: Bacteria; Pseudomonadati; Pseudomonadota; Alphaproteobacteria; Hyphomicrobiales
Also listed under: 8 other names
Description: tRNA-Phe
Rfam family: tRNA
About the family: Transfer RNA (tRNA) molecules are approximately 80 nucleotides in length. Their secondary structure includes four short double-helical elements and three loops (D, anti-codon, and T loops).
Source: RNAcentral
GCCCUGAUAGCUCAGUUGGUAGAGCAAACGACUGAAAAUCGUUGUGUCCCUAGUUCAAAUCUAGGUCAGGGCACCA